GCGGUUGUUACCACAGUGAAAAGUUUUAUUUAUGGUGUUAGAAAUAUUCGAUCGGAAGGAAGAGAGGCGGUGUAUAGCACACAGCCAAUAAUUCAAAGUGCAGAUAAAGGCAACGAAACUAGGCCUGCAGCUUUGCUGUAUUUUUUUCCGCAACACCCGAACGAAGUGGGAACACUCAAGCCGAUCGUCGAAAUCCACCUUCGCCUGGAGUUCUUCGAGGGAAGGGAAACAGUGGUAACGCGACCGCCUCGCAAAGCGAGCGGAGGAGAUCGACGGAAAGUGCUAAAUAAUUGAAUUUUAAAUUAUGUAACUUCCUAUGUCCCGACCCGAACUUAGGCGUAAAAAGUAAUUGUGGCCCGUGGUGGCAGAAAAAAAAGAAAUAUCG
Drosophila elegans is the source of this 385-nucleotide long non-coding RNA. RefSeq lists it as uncharacterized. Lineage: Eukaryota; Metazoa; Arthropoda; Insecta; Diptera; Drosophilidae. The record is from RefSeq and is a predicted model, not a curated record. The transcript has 2 exons.